GAUGAACGCUAGCUACAGGCUUAACACAUGCAAGUCGAGGGGAAACGAUAGAGAAAGCUUGCUUUUUCUAGGCGUCGACCGGCGCACGGGUGAGUAACGCGUAUCCAACCUGCCCACCACUUGGGGAUAACCUUGCGAAAGUAAGACUAAUACCCGAUGACGUCUCUAGAAGACAUCUGAAGGAGAUUAAAGAUUUAUCGGUGAUGGAUGGGGAUGCGUCUGAUUAGCUUGUUGGCGGGGUAACGGCCCACCAAGGCGACGAUCAGUAGGGGUUCUGAGAGGAAGGUCCCCCACAUUGGAACUGAGACACGGUCCAAACUCCUACGGGAGGCAGCAGUGAGGAAUAUUGGUCAAUGGACGAGAGUCUGAACCAGCCAAGUAGCGUGCAGGAUGACGGCCCUAUGGGUUGUAAACUGCUUUUAUAAGGGAAUAAAGUGGGAGUCGUGACUCUUUUUGCAUGUACCUUAUGAAUAAGGACCGGCGUAAUUCCGUG
Molecule: ribosomal RNA, 493 nt
Filed under: uncultured bacterium
Lineage: Bacteria
Description: bacterial SSU rRNA
Rfam family: Bacterial small subunit ribosomal RNA
Source: RNAcentral